This 23-nucleotide non-coding RNA is filed under the name Cricetulus griseus (Chinese hamster). The record is from RNAcentral. Lineage: Eukaryota; Metazoa; Chordata; Mammalia; Rodentia; Cricetidae.
AUAUCUGAUACGUCCUCUAUCCG